GUUCCAGUCUAAUUUCUAACUUAGGGAGAAAGGGUGAUGCCAGUCCUCAAUAGCAAGUCAAUCUUGAACCGUUGAUUCGUGCUGGUUCUGAGUUUGCACAAGCCGGUCUCGUUCUAGUUCUGGUUGGUCUUGAACCAUCCCUGAUCAAGUCUACCAUCCACCCAAUUACAAGGACUGUUUAUGUUUAUGAACCUGCAGCUGCAGGCUAGAUUUAUAUUGAAAGAACAAUAUUGAUGAUGAUAUAAUUCAAAUUGCGUGUGGAUGGUGGAUGGGCUGCCAUGCAGUAUCAAGUAGCGUUUGUCUUAUAGAUAGAGGCUGCCAAUGGAUAAGGAUUUUGAACCCACAGAUGCUUUAAGUUUGAGAAGCAACCAGACGCCAACAUAGUUGGGGUGAUCCAAAAUUAUUUCAAAUAUAAGAUCACGCUGUUCGUUUUGGCCUUUCUGAUUGCUUUUCUAUAAUUAACAAUCAGAAAUUAAGUAAUACAAGCUCCACCACAUGGUCAAGUUAUGCUAAAUCCAUAAUUUUUACAUAAAUAUUACACAAGGACAAAGCAGUGGAUGAGAGAUAUGGUGGCUUUUCAUUUAGGCUGCUUCAGCAAAUCCAACUCUCAGGUUCCCAUAGUCAAACACUGUGUGAUAAGGGCCCAUGAAUACAUCUCCCAAAAUCCAUAGAGGUCCAUGAGGAGGGGGCACGUCCAAAGCAGUAAAUCCACUAAUGCAUUGAGCUGAAACUCCCUCUCCUACUUUAAGAACGUACUGCUCUGGUGUAAGGCCAAAUACUUUACCACCAAUUGUGAAUGAGACGUGAGGCAUGGAAGAUAGACUGCCACAAUCAACUGCUGAUUCUCCAUUUGGACUGGGCAAUCGAUCACAUAGUUCAUUCACGUAGUUCAAUAUCUGAUCUUCUGUCUGAUUUAGCUUUAUACGAUUUUGCAUCCAUACAAUCAUCAUCUCACAAGCAGCACACAUAGCAUCUUGUACACCAUUAGAUACUUCGUCUGUAGUUUCAUCCACCACGCUCUCAAUAUUUGUACUGACACCCCGAGCCCCAUCAAAAGUACAAAAGCCAAUUUGAGAGCAGAUCUUUUGCGGUUUUGCCUGCUUUAGGAAAGGGGGAAAUAGUAAAAUAAAGUAGAAGCCAGUUCAUUGAAAGGAGUUCAAGGAUAAAGUUGGCCACAAAAACACAAAUCUUAACCGGUUGCAUCAAGUCUACACAAAUGUACUCGGAAAUGGAAGAGUAGUUAGGAACCAUGAAAAGAAAAUGAAACCCCAUAAAAUUUACCUGAGCCAUCAGCAUUUCCAGUAUGACUUUCCCAUAUUGUGCAACUACUGUCUUGCAUUGUUGGCUUACAAUACCAGAGGCUCCAAUGGCACGAUUAAUUUGAGUAAUCACAGUCGUUGGGCCCGCCAGUAAAGAGGUUCCAGAAUCAGCAAUUGCCUUACAGCCAUUACCACAAAGUCCUGUUGAUUCAUUGCCAACUAAUACGUCACCCAUAUCGAACUGCCAAUAACCUUUUUGAGUCACUGGAACAUAUGUGUGCUCACCCUUGUAAUGAUUGGAAUCAAUCCCACCAAACACAAUUUCUCCUCCUUCUUCUCCUUUAACAUUGCGGUUUAACCAAAAUGAAAAAACUUGUUCCGUAACAAGACCUUGAUUGACCAUAUUAUACCAAACUGGAACAGUUUUCCCAACUGAGAUCUCUUGGAACCCAAGUCCAAGAAUACCAUCAAACUUGGCGGCCAAAAAUGUGACGCCUGGCUCUUUUGUUGCCUCAAUAAAAUCCUGAUUCCUAACAACAAAAUCACCCACUUUGACAUUGUCCUGGCUAAAGAAACCAGCAAUUGAACCAGUUCCAUACUGGAUUGCAGCGGAGGUACCUGCAACAAUGAGGAAAAAAUGAUUAAUCUGAAAUAUGUGAAUUUACUUAUAUAUAUGUUGAAAUAUGUAAAGAUAGUUAGCUGCCGAGCAAAUCUUCAUCAUCUCUACUUCUUCAUUUCUCUCUUCUAUUUUUUCAAUAUAUAUUAAAAAUUAUAUUUAUUUUUAUUUAAGUAUAUUUUUAUAAAUAAUAUAAAUAAAGUCUUAUUAUUUUUUCCUCCACUGACUAACAUUGCUAGCUCCACCACUGGCUCACUGCCAAAAUGAAGCACAUUUGCCAUUAAAUUAAAGAAGAAACAUGCUAAGAUUAAAUGAAUCAUCAAAUAGUAGACAGAAGAUUAUUCCAAGUUAAAUUAAUCUAUUUUCCCCAGUUAUAAUGUAAUAGAAGGACCCUUUUAUGGCAAUGUUGCAUAAAAUUCAUAUAGACUAAAGGAAAAUUCUUGUCCAUACCAAGGCAUUACACCAAACCAAUAGGUGAAUGCCAAGCAUGAGUGAGUGUAUAACACUCAAAGCACAUGACAAUCAUUCAUUGCUAAGUGUAAAACACUCAAGGACAAGAUACUUGGCACUUGCCUGUUAGUUUGGUGUAGUGCACCUGAUGUAGGCAAGUUUUUCCCAAGACUUUUAGGGUCAAAUGGAGCUAAUCCCAAAUUCCCCCACUAACGUGACUAUAAAUAAGGAAAAUCAAGAAAAGGGUGGGAGAAGGUGGUUUAAUCUCAUUGGAAAGCAUGCUUAAAGUCUUAAAGACUUAAACCAGGAAAAGAG
RNAcentral lists this unclassified non-coding RNA (2640 nucleotides) under Hevea brasiliensis (rubber tree). Lineage: Eukaryota; Viridiplantae; Streptophyta; Magnoliopsida; Malpighiales; Euphorbiaceae. The record is from RNAcentral.